RNAcentral lists this ribosomal RNA (894 nucleotides) under Arthrobacter agilis. RNAcentral's name for it is "bacterial SSU rRNA". It matches the Rfam family "Bacterial small subunit ribosomal RNA", at positions 34 to 931 of the family's 1533-position model. The record is from RNAcentral. Lineage: Bacteria; Bacillati; Actinomycetota; Actinomycetes; Micrococcales; Micrococcaceae.
GGCAUGCGGCGGCUACCAUGCAGUCGAACGAUGAACCUCACUUGUGGGGGGAUUAGUGGCGAACGGGUGAGUAACACGUGAGUAACCUGCCCUUGACUCUGGGAUAAGCCUGGGAAACCGGGUCUAAUACUGGAUACGACCUUCUGGCGCAUGCCAUGUUGGUGGAAAGCUUUUGUGGUUUUGGAUGGACUCGCGGCCUAUCAGCUUGUUGGUGGGGUAAUGGCCUACCAAGGCGACGACGGGUAGCCGGCCUGAGAGGGUGACCGGCCACACUGGGACUGAGACACGGCCCACACUCCUACGGGAGGCAGCAGUGGGGAAUAUUGCACAAUGGGCGCAAGCCUGAUGCACCGACGCCGCGUGAGGGAUGAAGGCCUUCGGGUUGUAAACCUCUUUCAGUAGGGAAGAAGUCGGCCUUUUUGGGUUGGUGACGGUACCUGCAGAAGAAGCGCCGGCUAACUACGUGCCAGCAGCCGCGGUAAUACGUAGGGCGCAAGCGUUAUCCGGAAUUAUUGGGCGUAAAGAGCUCGUAGGCGGUUUGUCGCGUCUGCCGUGAAAGUCCGGGGCUUAACCCCGGAUCUGCGGUGGGUACGGGCAGACUAGAGUGCAGUAGGGGAGACUGGAAUUCCUGGUGUAGCGGUGAAAUGCGCAGAUAUCAGGAGGAACACCGAUGGCGAAGGCAGGUCUCUGGGCUGUAACUGACGCUGAGGAGCGAAAGCAUGGGGAGCGAACAGGAUUAGAUACCCUGGUAGUCCAUGCCGUAAACGUUGGGCACUACGUGUGGGGGACAUUCCACGUUUUCCGCGCCGUAGCUAACGCAUUAAGUGCCCCGCCUGGGGGAGUACGGUCGCAAGGCUAAAACUCAAAGGAAUUGACUGGGGCCCGGCACAAGCG